GAGCUCACUUUGACAACACAUAUAUUAAAAUUAGAAUAAUACAGAGAAUAUUAGCAUGGCCUCUGCAAAAAGAUUACACACAAAUUCGUGGAGCAGUCCAUAUUUUU
This is a small nuclear RNA of Prolemur simus (greater bamboo lemur), 107 nucleotides long. NCBI's taxonomy places the organism in Eukaryota, Metazoa, Chordata, Mammalia, Primates, Lemuridae. The record is from Ensembl.